GAGUGAACGCUGGCGGUAGGCCUAACACAUGCAAGUCGAACGGCAGCACGGUAAGAGCUUGCUCUUAUGGGUGGCGAGUGGCGGACGGGUGAGGAAUACAUCGGAAUCUACCUUUUGGUGGGGGAUAACGUAGGGAAACUUACGCUAAUACCGCAUACGCCCUUCGGGGGAAAGCCGGGGACCAGCAAUGGCCUGGCGCUGAUAGAUGAGCCGAUGUCGGAUUAGCUAGUUGGUGAGGUAAUGGCUCACCAAGGCGACGAUCCGUAGCUGGUCUGAGAGGAUGAUCAGCCGCACUGGAACUGAGACACGGUCCAGACUCCUACGGGAGCAGCAGUGGGAAUAUUGGACAAUGGG
Molecule: ribosomal RNA, 354 nt
Filed under: uncultured soil bacterium
Lineage: Bacteria
Description: bacterial SSU rRNA
Rfam family: Bacterial small subunit ribosomal RNA
Source: RNAcentral